UUUCCACUGUAAAGCAAGGUAUCUUAAACAGCAAUUUCACUAUUCAUGUCUCAACCUACUUUGUCCCUGUAGUUUCUACAUUAAAAGUUCCACAAGAAUUUCCAUACAACUACAAACUUUUGAAGUCUUAUGUGAUGUUUAUGCAAUGCUAUGACUUGUCAACAAAUCUAAUUUUGAAUCUGGUUAAUGAUAUUUUUUUGUGUGUGCAUCUGUGUAUUGAUUGUUUAGCAAUUUGGGAUCUUUUUUUUUGUCUUGGAUAUUAUGAGGGCUGGAUGAGUGUCAACGAGACUCCAUGACUUGCAGUUCUAUUUCUCCUUUCUGUGCACAAUGGUUACCAUUCGAGUAUUAUGUUAAGCAGAUGAUGAGCGGAUUAGCUUGAGUUUUGCUCUCUAGGUCAGUCAGUAUUUGUGGCCUUCUCCUCCGGCCGCUCAAAGGCGUCGACAUUCUGAAAGUUUGGUCUGGCCUCUGUUUCUCAAUGAAUCCUAUUUGUUUUCCUGAAAACAAGAUCUCCAUCCACUAAAAUUUCAAGCGAUUUUGCAAGUUUGUUGGUGUGUUGAAUCUAAGUAAUGGCUAUUCGGUUUGGGGUGCUUCUGUGCACGAAUACUUGGACCUUUCGAAGAUGGCAGAAGGAGAACCUGGAUAAUCAUCAGAAUAAAAUGAAGCUCAAGCACCAAGAGGAGAUCAUCGCGCAGCAGGGAACGGAGCAACAGAAAGCCUUCGUGAUUCGUGCAAGGCGUGAUCACAAACUGAACGGCAAGUUCAGCGGUCUGGAUUUGACCACGUGAGGUGAAGCAACGGAGGAGAUAGCUGCCAGUUGUCGGAGGCGUCGACAGCUGGAGGUGGGCCCACGUUCUGGAGAUUUAACUUUUGGAAGCCAAAUUGUAAUCGAGCGUUGGCUCUGAUCUCCUUCCUCCCUUGCUCCUCUCAACCCAGACUACUGCUUCUAUUCUCCUUCCCUUUCUUGGAUUUGAAUCUUGUAUCUGAAUUCGUGGUGUUUCCCAAUGGAUUAAUGAGGUUAUAGAUCGGGUGCGUAUCACAGAAGGUAAGUUACAAGAAUUCUGUCGAGACAGCAAUUUCACUGUAAAGCAAGGCAUCUUAAACAACAA
Lolium perenne is the source of this 1106-nucleotide long non-coding RNA. RefSeq lists it as uncharacterized. The record is from RefSeq and is a predicted model, not a curated record. NCBI's taxonomy places the organism in Eukaryota, Viridiplantae, Streptophyta, Magnoliopsida, Poales, Poaceae.